GACGAACGCUGGCGGCGUGCUUAACACAUGCAAGUCGAACGGAAAGGCCCUGCUUUUGUGGGGUGCUCGAGUGGCGAACGGGUGAGUAACACGUGAGUAACCUGCCCUUGACUUUGGGAUAACUUCAGGAAACUGGGGCUAAUACCGGAUAGGAGCUCCUGCUGCAUGGUGGGGGUUGGAAAGUUUCGGCGGCUGGGGAUGGACUCGCGGCUUAUCAGCUUGUUGGUGGGGUAGUGGCUUACCAAGGCUUUGACGGGUAGCCGGCCUGAGAGGGUGACCGGCCACAUUGGGACUGAGAUACGGCCCAGACUCCUACGGGAGGCAGCAGUGGGGAAUAUUGCACAAUGGGCGGAAGCCUGAUGCAGCAACGCCGCGUGCGGGAUGAUGGCCUUCGGGUUGUAAACCGCUUUCGCCUGUGACGAAGCGUGAGUGACGGUAAUGGGUAAAGAAGCACCGGCUAACUACGUG
Molecule: ribosomal RNA, 468 nt
Filed under: uncultured bacterium
Lineage: Bacteria
Description: partial 16S ribosomal RNA
Rfam family: Bacterial small subunit ribosomal RNA
Source: RNAcentral